CAUCUUCGGGGCAGGGUGAAAUUCCCGAUCGGCGGUAUUAGAGACUAACAAUGACUCUUGAGCCCGCGAGCCGUAAAGGCAGGACAUGGUGAGAAUCCAAGGCCGACAGUAUAGUCUGGAUGGGAGAAGGUG
This 132-nucleotide non-coding RNA is filed under the name uncultured Rummeliibacillus sp. RNAcentral's name for it is "FMN riboswitch (RFN element)". It matches the Rfam family "FMN riboswitch aptamer (RFN element)". Rfam says of the family: The RFN element is a highly conserved domain that is found frequently in the 5'-untranslated regions of prokaryotic mRNAs that encode for flavin mononucleotide (FMN) biosynthesis and transport proteins. This element is a metabolite-dependent riboswitch that directly binds FMN in the absence of proteins. Lineage: Bacteria; Bacillati; Bacillota; Bacilli; Caryophanales; Caryophanaceae. The record is from RNAcentral.